UAAGCCCUAAGCCCUAAGCCCUAAGCCCUAAGCCCUAAACCCUAGAACCCCAAACACUAAACAAAAUAGAGACAAACAUAUUCUAAACAUGAAAAACCAAACACAAACAGAAAAAACAAAGGAGAGAAGCAGAGAUCUGAAAUUAAAAAAUAAGCAAAUACACAGUUAACGUAAAUAUUCAUACCUGAAAUGACUGCCAUGAAGCAGGGGUUUGUUUUCAUUAUUCUCUCUUCAUCCCUUCUCGUACUUCGUGGAUUCUCUUUACAGCUGUAAUCCUAGCCUCAUGAAGGUCUGAAUGUAAUAACCAAAAGAUACUGGAAAUCUGAUCUGCAAAUAUCAACAAAUACCACUGAGAAAGCACCCAAAAGAACUCAUUACGGGUAUCACUUAUACCACCCAUAAAUUUCAAAAGUAUCCACUAAAAGCCAGAAACAUCCCCUUUUAAAAUCAAGAAAAAAUUGUGUUAAAAACAUAGAAUUUUACAGACUUUUUGAGAAAACUAAAAAAAUGAAUGUCACAACUCACAACGAAUUAAAAAGACAUUUUAUUACCAUCCAUAAAAACUACCAAAUAAACUCUACAUGCGUCUCAACUCCUACCGAGUUCCUAGAACCAAAAUAAAGCCAACACAGAUGCAGUAAACAAAGUACAUACGGAUGCUUUUUUAUUAGGCAAUUAGUAUUCUGCUAAGCAAAGAUUUAAAAGAAAUAGAAAAUAACACAAAAGCUAUAAUAUUAAACAGAGGGAAACAAACAAUCCAAAAAUAAAGAACAACAUAUAGUAUACGAUAAACAAACAAAAAUGAAGAACAAGACCGACAUCUAUAGAUCUGAAAGACGAAACGAAACAGAAAUUUCUAAAGCUGAAAACCAAAAACCCUAAGAAAAACCCACUGAAAUACAAGUAAAAAAGCAUGGAGCUAAAACUAAAAAAGAAAUUGAUACCUGAAAUGAGUCUCCGUUGAAGCAACGAAUUUCAAAAAUCACAAAAACCAGAAGCGCCAAAGAAAACAUAGGGUUUCUCUCUCACGAAAACUCUCUUCCUACUAUAGCGUGUGUGUUUUUGGCCUGUGGAUACCCAAACCUAAAAUAGAAUGACAGGAAAACGUUGAAAAGAGACCUAGAGUGAGAGAGAAUCGCCGAAGAAAUGAGAAGCAAUGAAUUGGAUAGAUAUAUUUGAGGAUUUAAAUUUCGAAUGAUGGGAUGGAAGUGAUCGGAGGUAAGACGCUGGAAAGUGUGUGGAGGCAGAGGCAGCGGCAGCGGUUUGUUAGAAAGGACAAUAAAGGAGGUAGAGAAAAAGAAAAUUAGUAGAAGAAAGGGGAAAAUGGGGAGAGAAUAAAGGGAAAACCGAACGCGAGAGAGAUGAAGGAAGAAAGAGUUUUUAUAUUAUUUAAUUUUAAAAUGGUUUGAAUUUUAUUUUAUUUUUUUAAUAAAUAUCGGACUUUGGAAAAGUUAUAUUCAAUCUUUUCUUAAAUAGUAUUUAGACCCAGAUAAAAUUAGGCCUGUUUUUCCAAGCUUUUGUUAUAAUUUGGGCCUAUUUCGUUUUCGUUUUGGGGUCUGUCUUUUAGUCCUGAUGGUCCGUGUUUUUGUAUUUUAAUAAUAGCCAAUUUUUUCCUUCCAAAAAAACCUUAAACCAACUCGGAGAUAUCCUCGGAAUGGGUCUCAAUCGGAACGGGAUAUAAAGAGGAUAUCCCCAGAAUAGCUUAUUCCGAAACGGGAUAUGACAAGGAUAUUCGUGGAUUGGAAUAAGACAAUCUUUAAAUC
This 1763-nucleotide long non-coding RNA is filed under the name Gossypium raimondii (Peruvian cotton). RNAcentral's name for it is "long non-coding RNA (GRAI_LNC005051)". The record is from RNAcentral. Lineage: Eukaryota; Viridiplantae; Streptophyta; Magnoliopsida; Malvales; Malvaceae.